GACGAACGCUGGCGGCGUGCUUAACACAUGCAAGUCGAACGAAGAGCGAUGGAAGCUUGCUUCUAUCAAUCUUAGUGGCGAACGGGUGAGUAACGCGUAAUCAACCUGCCCUUCAGAGGGGGACAACAGUUGGAAACGACUGCUAAUACCGCAUACGAUCUAAUCUCGGCAUCGAGGAUAGAUGAAAGGUGGCCUCUACAUGUAAGCUAUCACUGAAGGAGGGGAUUGCGUCUGGUUAGCUAGUUGGAGGGGGAACGGCCGACCAAGGCGAUGAUCAGUAGGCGGUCUGAGAGGGUGAACGGCCACAUUGGGACUGGGACACGGCCCAGACUCCUACGGGAGGCAGCAGUGGGGAAUCUUCCGCAAUGGACGAAAGUCUGACGGAGCAACGCCGCGUGAGUGAUGACGGCCUUCGGGUUGUAAAGCUCUGUUAAUCGGGACGAAAGGCCUUCUUGCGAAUAGGGAGAAGGAUUGACGGUACCGGAAGAGAAAGCCACGGCUAACUACGUG
RNAcentral lists this ribosomal RNA (510 nucleotides) under uncultured bacterium. Its description in RNAcentral is "partial 16S ribosomal RNA". It matches the Rfam family "Bacterial small subunit ribosomal RNA", at positions 28 to 507 of the family's 1533-position model. The record is from RNAcentral.